Molecule: ribosomal RNA, 1128 nt
Filed under: Triticum aestivum (bread wheat)
Lineage: Eukaryota; Viridiplantae; Streptophyta; Magnoliopsida; Poales; Poaceae
Description: partial small subunit ribosomal RNA
Source: RNAcentral
AUGCUCGUGACUCAGCUACACACCAACAGUCCAGCACAAGCUCUGCUCUGCCACUCCCAAUGCAUGCGCUACAAAUACGGUAAUACUAGCACAGAACUACACGUACGACGCCGGACGUCCUUGAAGUUGCACGCCCGCCGCGCACCGAACAGGCUGACAAUGGCAAAGAACUCCACGGCCACCGCCGACGCCGGCGACGAGAUCGUCCACGACUUCUCUCCGCUCCUCCUGGUCCACAGGAGCGGCAGGCUCGAGCGGCCCCUCGCCAUGCCGCGCGUCCCGGCCGGCCACGACGCCGCCACGGGCGUCGUGUCCAAGGACGUGUCGCUCUCGCCCUUCUCGUUCGUGCGUCUCUACCUCCCACCCGAAACGGGCGCCGGCGCCGGCAAAAAGCUCCCCGUCCUCGUGUACUUCCACGGCGGGGGGUUCGUGAUCGGGUCUGCCGCGUCGGCCGCCUACCACCGCUGCCUCAACGACCUCACCGCGGCCUGCGCCGCUGUCGCCGUCUCCGUCGACUACCGCCUCGCCCCGGAGCACCCACUCCCCGCCGCGUACGAGGACUCCCUCGCGGCCCUCAAGUGGGUGCUCUCCACCGCCGAUCCGUGGCUCGCCGAGAGAGCCGAUCUCUCCCGCAUUUUCCUCGCGGGAGACAGCGCCGGCGGCAACAUCUGCCACCACCUGGCCAUGCACCACGACUUGAGGGACGCCGCAGGAAGGCUCAAAGGCAUCGUCCUGAUCCACCCGUGGUUCUGGGGCAAGGAGCCCAUCGGCGAAGAGCCCCGGCCGGGGCGCGCGGAGGGCGUGGAGCAGAAGGGCCUGUGGGAGUUCGUGUGCCCCGACGCAGCGGACGGCGCAGACGAUCCCCGGAUGAACCCGACCGCGGAGGGCGCGCCGGGGCUGGAGAACCUGGCGUGCGAGAAGGUCAUGGUGUGCGUCGCCGAGGGGGAUUUCUUGCGUUGGCGAGGCAGGGCGUACGCGGAUGCGGCGGCCCGGGCGAGGGGCCCCGAGCCGGCGGUGGAGCUGUUCGAGUCGGACGGGGUCGGGCACGUGUUCUACCUGUGGGAGCCUGCAACGGAGAAGGCCAGGGAGCUGCUCGAGAGGAUCGUCGCGUUCGUCAGAGCGGAGUGA